This 26-nucleotide small nuclear RNA is filed under the name Arabidopsis thaliana (thale cress). Its description in RNAcentral is "snRNA_16485". Lineage: Eukaryota; Viridiplantae; Streptophyta; Magnoliopsida; Brassicales; Brassicaceae. The record is from RNAcentral.
CCGUGAAAGCGUGGCCUAUCGAUCCU